This 484-nucleotide ribosomal RNA is filed under the name uncultured bacterium. RNAcentral describes it as "partial 16S ribosomal RNA". It matches the Rfam family "Bacterial small subunit ribosomal RNA", at positions 30 to 507 of the family's 1533-position model. The record is from RNAcentral.
AUUGAACGCUGGCGGCAGGCCUAACACAUGCAAGUCGAGCGGAUGAAGGGAGCUUGCUCCUGGAUUCAGCGGCAGACGGGUGAGUAAUGCCUAGGAAUCUGCCUGGUAGUGGGGGAUAACGUCCGGAAACGGGCGCUAAUACCGCAUACGUCCUGAGGGAGAAAGUGGGGGAUCUUCGGACCUCACGCUAUCAGAUGAGCCUAGGUCGGAUUAGCUAGUUGGUGGGGUAAAGGCCUACCAAGGCGACGAUCCGUAACUGGUCUGAGAGGAUGAUCAGUCAUACUGGAACUGAGACACGGUCCAGACUCCUACGGGAGGCAGCAGUGGGGAAUAUUGGACAAUGGGCGAAAGCCUGAUCCAGCCAUGCCGCGUGUGUGAAGAAGGUCUUCGGAUUGUAAAGCACUUUAAGUUGGGAGGAAGGGCAGUAAGUUAAUACCUUGCUGUUUCGACGUUACCAACAGAAUAAGCACCGGCUAACUUCGUG